CCUGCAGCUCCUGCUCAAGUUGGCUUUAGGAUUCAAAUAAGAAAGUCUACCUUUGCCAGAAAGCAGGGACGAUGCAUCCUUCUUCAAGGCCAGCCCCAAGCAGACUCUUUAGACCUGAGGUCAAACUGUAAAAUGAACAAUUAUCUUUCCUGCUAGACAGGCUCCCCCUGAAGUCCUGCCCUACCCUAAUCUCUGAGCAUCUCACCUGCCCUGGACACACUGCUUUGGUAGAAGGAGCACCUCAUUGUUAUCAACACCCACCAGACAGCACUGCAAUCUAGUUUUCCAUUCAUUUCAGCCUACUCUCCAUAUCUGUCCCAUUGAGGUAGACUUAUUUCUGUUCUAAUGAAAUUGAUUCAGAA
This 362-nucleotide long non-coding RNA is filed under the name Homo sapiens (human). Its description in RNAcentral is "non-protein coding lnc-ATXN1-6:1". Lineage: Eukaryota; Metazoa; Chordata; Mammalia; Primates; Hominidae. The record is from RNAcentral.